AUGUAAACUAGUGGUAACAGAGGGGUGGGAAGUGAUUAUACUAUGCAAGGUAAAGGGAAAGAGACUCAAGUCACUCAAUCCUCGUUCUCUUGAGUACUACACAACAACCUGUAGGGGUGCCAACCAGUGACCUAGCAGGCAUGGAUAGAUGUGAAGUUGACAUCUCCUCAACUCUGUAGAGAAAGUAUGUACAAAAUGUCUCUAAAGCACUUGACCCUCAAGUGUGUCUCUUCGAGGGAGUUGAGCAACCUUUUCGUGGAGCAAGCAGUACUAUACAUUGUGGCAAUUGCACAUGCAAUAUUUUCUGAUAAGAGUAAGAAGGACAUGCUAUGCAAUCUGCUUUUGCAAGAUAAUAAGGUUGGCCAAUCAUUUAUUCCAUACAUGGUUGCAAAGGUUGCUCACUCACUUCCAAUCAUUACUUUCAAGCUUCAAUCACAGGACACUAUAACUGGAUUCUUGCUGGCUGGAGUGGGUGAUGUGACUUACGGAAGAAGACAAACUACCUCAUUGUUGAUUCAAACCUCAGAUCAUAAAGGCUAUUCAACAAAAGGAAUGAAGAAAUGAAGAGAUAAAAGAGGAAGAAACAACUCUGUUUGGUAUCAGAACUUGGAGAAAAUAUCAAGUUGUAGCAGACAUCUGUCUAAAGGUAUCAGACCUCCAGCAUUAAGCAUGAAAGCACAUUUGAAUGUAUCAAGCUUGCAAGAUUUUCAAUCCAAUGUUAGAAGACUGGUCAUCGGGACUCUGAAAAAAGCAAAGAAAAUCAAAGGGGAACAGAAAGGGAAAUGACUUACAAUAAGAACCUUACCCGUAAUUCAAAUUCUUGUAUGGUAAAAGCUGUUGAUUUUAGGCAUGAGUGGGGGAGAUCUUCUCAACAUUCGACCUUCCAAGCUCAAGU
This is an RNA transcript of Macadamia integrifolia, 895 nucleotides long. RefSeq lists it as uncharacterized. NCBI's taxonomy places the organism in Eukaryota, Viridiplantae, Streptophyta, Magnoliopsida, Proteales, Proteaceae. The record is from RefSeq and is a predicted model, not a curated record. The transcript has 8 exons.